GUUCAAACAUCGGUUCCCGUACAAUCAACGAAGUUAAGCAACGCCGACCCUGGUUAGUACCUAGAUGGGUAACCUCUUGCAAAUACCAAGUGCUGUAAU
Molecule: non-coding RNA, 99 nt
Organism: Acanthosepion pharaonis
Lineage: Eukaryota; Metazoa; Mollusca; Cephalopoda; Sepiida; Sepiidae
Source: the annotation of a GenBank genome assembly